This 253-nucleotide ribosomal RNA is filed under the name uncultured bacterium. RNAcentral's name for it is "partial 16S ribosomal RNA". It matches the Rfam family "Bacterial small subunit ribosomal RNA", at positions 524 to 776 of the family's 1533-position model. The record is from RNAcentral.
UACGUAGGGUGCGAGCGUUACUCGGAAUUACUGGGCGUAAAGCGUGCGCAGGCGGUUCGUUAAGUCAGAUGUGAAAGCCCCGGGCUCAACCUGGGAACUGCAUUGGAAACUGGCUUACUAGAGUGCGGUAGAGGGGUGUGGAAUUCCCGGUGUAGCAGUGAAAUGCGUAGAUAUCGGGAGGAACAUCUGUGGCGAAGGCGACACCCUGGACCAGCACUGACACUGAGGCACGAAAGCGUGGGGAGCAAACAGG